ACAGGGAUUGCCCUAGUAACGGCGAGUGAAGCGGCAACAGCUCAAAUUUGAAAUCUGGCGUCUUUGGCGUCCGAGUUGUAAUUUGCAGAGGGCGCUUUGGCAUCGGCGGCGGUCCAAGUUCCUUGGAACAGGACGUCACAGAGGGUGAGAAUCCCGUACGUGAUCGCUAGCCUUUACCGUGUAAAGCCCCUUCGACGAGUCGAGUUGUUUGGGAAUGCAGCUCUAAAUGGGAGGUAAAUUUCUUCUAAAGCUAAAUACUGGCCAGAGACCGAUAGCGCACAAGUAGAGUGAUCGAAAGAUGAAAAGCACUUUGGAAAGAGAGUUAAAAAGCACGUGAAAUUGUUGAAAGGGAAGCGCUUGCAGCCAGACUUGCCUGUAGUUGCUCAUCCGGGUUUUUACCCGGUGCACUCUUCUAUAGGCAGGCCAGCAUCAGUUUGGGCGGUUGGAUAAAGGUCUCUGUCAUGUACCUCUCUUCGGGGAGAACUUAUAGGGGAGACGACAUGCAACCAGCCUGGACUGAGGUCCGCGCAUCUGCUAGGAUGCUGGCGUAAUGGCUGUAAGCGGCCCGUCUUGAAACACGGACCAAGGAGUCUAACAUCUAUGCGAGUGUUUGGGUGUCAAGCCCGAACGCGUAAUGAAAGUGAACGGAGGUGGGAACCUUUCGGGGUGCACCAUCGACCGAUCCUGAUGUCUUCGGAUGGAUUUGAGUAAGAGCAUAGCUGUUGGGACCCGAAAGAUGGUGAACUAUGCUUGAAUAGGGUGAAGCCAGAGGAAACUCUGGUGGAGGCUCGCAGCGGUUCUGACGUGCAAAUCGAUCGUCAAAUUUGGGCAUAGGGGCGAAAG
RNAcentral lists this ribosomal RNA (843 nucleotides) under Neodidymelliopsis achlydis. RNAcentral's name for it is "partial large subunit ribosomal RNA". It matches the Rfam family "Eukaryotic large subunit ribosomal RNA", at positions 68 to 929 of the family's 3401-position model. Lineage: Eukaryota; Fungi; Ascomycota; Dothideomycetes; Pleosporales; Didymellaceae. The record is from RNAcentral.